CCUGUUGCCUGCGCUGGAGAGAAGCCAGAUCUGCGUGAAGUUUGCUCAGUGUCACUCCUCGUGUGCCCUAGACCAUGGCGGCGGCGGCGGCGGCGCUUCCUGUAGCCAAGACGGCACCGGAACCGCCGGAAAUCGAUCUGAUUAGCUCUCUCCCCGGUGAGAUCCUCAGCAUAAUCAUAUCCCUCCUCCCCGUCGACUCCGCCAUGCGCACCACAUCCCUCUCCCGCCGCUGGCGUCCCCUAUGGCGCUCCUCCCCGCUCAACCUCGACGUUUCCCACAUCGACGGGCGCGUCCGCGACCGCGCCGCCGCCGUGUCCAAGAUCCUCUCCGAUCACCCGGGCCCCGCGCGCCGCUUCCUGACCGCCUGGCUCCACAUCAUCGACCCCGACGGCUGGCUCGGGUCCCCGGCCCUCCGAGAUCUUCAGGAGAUCGACCUAUGGCUCCCUCGGUACGAAAUUCCGAUGCCGCUGUCCGUCCUCCGCUUCGCAACGACCCUGCGCGUGGCCAGCUUCGGCAACUGCAGGUUCUUUGUCGACGACGCGCCGCCGCCGUUUAACUUCCCUUGCCUUGAGAAGCUCAGCAUGAGAUUUAUCUUCGUACGGGAAGACACCCUCCACGGCCUGCUCGAUGGCUGCCCUGUCCUCCAGAGCUUGCUGCUGGACAGGUGCCACGGCUUCUACUAUCUGGUCAUCAAUUCACCAACUCUCAAGAGAAUCGGCACAAACGACGGUCGGCAUGGCUGUCAACUAGUCAUAGAAAAUGCCCCCAGACUGGAAAGAUUGAUCAGAAUUAAUCCUCUUCCAGACUCAACCAUCCGGCUAAUCAAGGCACCGAAACUCGAGACCUUUGGCUUCAUGACAGACGACUUUACUAAACUCAAGCUUGGGUCUGCAAUUUCUGAGGGAUUGGUUGCUGGCAACUUGAAAGCUCUGAUGCGCAGCGUCAAGGUUUUGCAUCUCACGUCUAGUGGCCCUAAUCUUGAUGCAGUCAUAGUCUUCCUCAAAAAAUUUCCUUGCUUGGAGAAGCUCUACAUCACGUCAUGUCCUGGAAAUGAUAUGGAGAAUGUGCAUCAUCUUCAACCACAAGAUCCUAUCGAAUGCCUCGAUCAUCUCAGAGAAGUAGAGUUGAAGCUUUAUAUUGGCAGCAGAACAGAUGUCAACUUUGCCAAGUUCUUUCUCCUGAAUGGUAAAGUGCUCGAGUUAAUGAGGUUUGGUGUCAAGGACCAAUAUACUGAGGAAUGGGUAGCUGAUCAACACAGUCAGCUACAUGUUGAUAGCAGGCCUUCUCCAAAUGCUCAACUUGAAUUUACAGCUGCUGAUGUUGGCAACCUUUUGACCAUAUUCUGUUCUUGACGGAUCCCUCCAGUGGCCUUGUGGACAAGGACUUCAUUCAUUCAGCAGACAGUAAUGUGCAUGACUGCACAUUUAGAGAUACAAACUUGGCCUCUAAUUGGACAACCGCCUUGAUCGUGAGGAAAUAAUGUUUCUGCAGAGGUUCUAAACAACACAUUGGUCAAGGCCGGCAUCACCGGCGCAUCGAAGCACGCCUGUCUAUUUGCUCGCUCAUCCUAGAACGACGCCUAUUGCCCUGGAAGUUGCGCUCCUGAUGUUCCUACUCAUGCCGUCCCUUCACAAGCUGCGUCGCCUUUAAGAUAAGUAAAUAAGCGGACCUCCUUUCCGGAGAUCAGAUCCAACCUCUCGCAAGGAGAAUAAGCUGACAAUACUGCCAAGAGAAGAGGAAGGAAUCCGGCUAAGAGAAGAGGAAGGAAUCCGGCUCGACGUUGCGUCACUGGCUCAUCCACGGUCCAAUGGGCAAGUCGGAUGGACCAAUGGGCUCACUUGCAAGGCCUCAAGCCUAGACUUCAGGUAGCUUUGGAGAGUAGUCGAUUGUUGGGUUGACAAGCUACCUUAUGUUCUUUGGAGUCUGCUGACUACUCCCAAUAGAUCAAUGGGUUACCUUUCUUCUUGGUGUAUGGAGCAGAAGCCGUCUUGCCGAGUGACAUCGUUCAUGACUCCCCAUGCGUUGCCGCCUACACAGAAGUGGAAGCCGAGUAGGCAAGACAAGAUAACAUUGAUCUCCUCGAGGAGGAACAAGAGGUCACACUCUCCAGAUCCGCCAUCUACUAACAAAACUUGAGUCACUACCAUAGCCGCCGGGUCAAACAAUGGCGGAGCUAUGUGUUACAAAAAUGGGUCAUGGCCCACCCUGCCGAGAGCAAAUACAGUGCAGAGGUUUGAAGUGAAUUGGGACAUGAGGACAAAAAUUAGUGGCCUUCCUUUGUACCGGCCCGCCCAGCUUUGGCUACCUAGCUCCGCCACUGGGAUCAAAGGCCAUUCUGUUAAGGAAGGCAACCUAGUGCUCCGCCUCAUAGAGAAGAGAACUGCAUGACAAGCUUUCUCCACCUUGGGAAGGACCCUUUGAUAUUACACAAAGUUCCUUUGUAGCUCGUCCUACAUGAAACCUCUUAUCUUCAGCCCUUUAACACUGCUUUGAG
Triticum aestivum (bread wheat) is the source of this 2494-nucleotide RNA transcript. It is a transcript of the gene named putative F-box/LRR-repeat protein At5g02700, with no coding region annotated. The transcript is spliced from 5 exons. Lineage: Eukaryota; Viridiplantae; Streptophyta; Magnoliopsida; Poales; Poaceae. The record is from RefSeq and is a predicted model, not a curated record.